CCUACGGGAGGCUGCAGUGGGGAAUAUUGGACAAUGGGGGGAACCCUGAUCCAGCGACGCCGCGUGAGUGAAGAAGUAUUUCGGUAUGUAAAGCUCUAUCAGCAGGGAAGAAAGAAAUGACGGUACCUGACUAAGAAGCCCCGGCUAACUAGGUGCAAGCAGCAGCGGUAAUACGUAGGGGGCAAGCGUUAUCCGGAUUUACUGGGUGAAAAGGGAGCGUAGACGGUUACGCAAGUCUGGGGUGAAAGGCGGGGGCCCAACGCCCGGACUGCUUUGGAAACUGUAUAGCUGGAAUGCAGGGGAGGUGAGUGGAAUUCCUAGUGUAGCGGUGAAAUGCGUAGAUAUUAGAAGGAACACCAGUGGCGAAGGCGGCUUACUGGACUGUAACUGACGUUGAGGCUCGAAAGCGUGGGGAGCAAACAGGAUUAGAUACCCGAGUAGUC
This 443-nucleotide ribosomal RNA is filed under the name uncultured bacterium. RNAcentral's name for it is "partial 16S ribosomal RNA". It matches the Rfam family "Bacterial small subunit ribosomal RNA", at positions 338 to 795 of the family's 1533-position model. The record is from RNAcentral.